RNAcentral lists this ribosomal RNA (471 nucleotides) under uncultured organism. RNAcentral describes it as "partial 16S ribosomal RNA". It matches the Rfam family "Bacterial small subunit ribosomal RNA", at positions 331 to 798 of the family's 1533-position model. The record is from RNAcentral.
GUACACUCCUCCGGGAGGCAGCAGUGAGGAAUAUUGGACAAUGGGUGGAAGCCUGAUCCAGCCAUCCCGCGUGCAGGAAGACGGCCCUAUGGGUUGUAAACUGCUUUUAUCUGGGGAUAAACCUACUUACGUGUAAGUAGCUGAAGGUACCAGAAGAAUAAGCACCGGCUAACUCCGUGCCAGCAGCCGCGGUAAUACGGAGGGUGCAAGCGUUAUCCGGAUUUAUUGGGUUUAAAGGGUCCGUAGGCGGACUGAUAAGUCAGUGGUGAAAUCCGACAGCUUAACUGUCGAACUGCCAUUGAUACUGUUAGUCUUGAGUAAGGUUGAAGUGGCUGGAAUAAGUAGUGUAGCGGUGAAAUGCAUAGAUAUUACUUAGAACACCAAUUGCGAAGGCAGGUCACUAAGUCUUAACUGACGCUGAUGGACGAAAGCGUGGGGAGCGAACAGGAUUAGAAACCCGGGUAGUCCCAU